Molecule: ribosomal RNA, 254 nt
Filed under: uncultured bacterium
Lineage: Bacteria
Description: partial 16S ribosomal RNA
Rfam family: Bacterial small subunit ribosomal RNA
Source: RNAcentral
UACAGGGGGGGGCAAGCGUUGUUCGGAAUUACUGGGCGUAAAGGGUCUGUAGGUGGCCAACUAAGUCAGACGUGAAAUCCCUCAGCUUAACUGGGGAACUGCGUCUGAUACUGGAUGGCUUGAGUGUGGGAGAGGAAUGCGGAAUUCCAGGUGUAGCGGUGAAAUGCGUAGAUAUCUGGAGGAACACCGGUGGCGAAGGCGGCAUCCUGGACCGGUAUUGACGCUGAUGAGCGAAAGCCAGGGGAGCAAACGGG